UCCUUUGUAGCUUAGUAGGUAAAGAAUCUGCCUGCAAUGCAGGAGACUCAGGUUCAAUUUCUGAGUCGGGAA
This 72-nucleotide transfer RNA is filed under the name Ovis aries (sheep). It matches the Rfam family "tRNA". Rfam says of the family: Transfer RNA (tRNA) molecules are approximately 80 nucleotides in length. Their secondary structure includes four short double-helical elements and three loops (D, anti-codon, and T loops). The record is from Rfam by way of RNAcentral. Lineage: Eukaryota; Metazoa; Chordata; Mammalia; Artiodactyla; Bovidae.